GUUGCGCGAGCAGCGGGGCCCGGAGCGAGGCUGCUGCCGCGGCCGGGGGCGCCUCCUGACGCGGGCUGGGCCCCGGGCCCCGCGCCCGGCCUGCCAGAGGGAGGACGAUGGUGGCACAGGGACCGUCCAGCUCAGAAAUAAAGCAGCUGCAUAGACCUGCUCAGAAAGGAAGAGUAAUUUACCCACACAGAAAUGUUUACAAAGCCUGCAUUCCAGCCUGAGCUCCAGACCUGAUUGCACGGCACGGUGUCGGAAGGACUGCAUCGUCCCUAUGUCUUGGCAAGCCAGCUUAUGGAGACCAUACUCUUCAUGGAUGAAAGCCACUCUUUCCUACCUUUCCUGUUGCUUCUUUAUUGUCUCCAU
RNAcentral lists this long non-coding RNA (363 nucleotides) under Accipiter nisus (Eurasian sparrowhawk). RNAcentral describes it as "lncRNA (ENSANIG00000008671.1)". Lineage: Eukaryota; Metazoa; Chordata; Aves; Accipitriformes; Accipitridae. The record is from RNAcentral.